RNAcentral lists this transfer RNA (69 nucleotides) under Ictidomys tridecemlineatus (thirteen-lined ground squirrel). RNAcentral's name for it is "Spermophilus tridecemlineatus (thirteen-lined ground squirrel) tRNA". It matches the Rfam family "tRNA". Rfam says of the family: Transfer RNA (tRNA) molecules are approximately 80 nucleotides in length. Lineage: Eukaryota; Metazoa; Chordata; Mammalia; Rodentia; Sciuridae. The record is from Rfam by way of RNAcentral.
GGGGUUGUAGCUCAAUGGUAGAGCACUCACCUCACAUGUGGAAGGUAGUGGGUUUGAUUCUCAGCACCA